RNAcentral lists this ribosomal RNA (504 nucleotides) under uncultured bacterium. RNAcentral's name for it is "bacterial SSU rRNA". It matches the Rfam family "Bacterial small subunit ribosomal RNA", at positions 791 to 1296 of the family's 1533-position model. The record is from RNAcentral.
UAGUCCACGCCGUAAACGAUGAGUACUAGUUAUUAGGGGUAUUGACUCCCUUAGUGACGCAGCUAACGCAUUAAGUACUCCGCCUGGGAAGUACGGUCGCAAGACUAAAACUCAAAGGAAUUGACGGGGGCCCGCACAAGCGGUGGAUUAUGUGGUUUAAUUCGAAGCAACGCGCAGAACCUUACCUAGGCUUGAAAUCCUACGAAUCCGAUGUAAUGGUCGGAGUGCUCGCAAGAGAAUGUAGUGACAGGUGCUGCAUGGCUGUCGUCAGCUCGUGUUGUGAAAUGUUGGGUUAAGUCUCGCAACGAGCGCAACCCCUAUCUUUAGUUGCCAGCAUUAAGUUGGGCACUCUAGAGAGACUGCCCGGUUAACCGGAGGAAGGUGGGGAUGACGUCAAGUCCUCAUGGCCCUUAUGCCUAGGGCAACACACGUGCUACAAUGGCCAGGACAAUGAGAAGCGAUACCGCGAGGUGGAGCAAAUCUAUAAACCUGGUCUCAGUUCGG